ACCCCUGGCUCCUCCAUGUGCUCUCUCUCUCUCUCCGCGCCCUCUCUUCUCAGAGGAAGUGGCUGCUCCUCAUCAGUCAUGGCAUCCAGUGUCCUGGUGUGUUUUCUCUGUGUGACUUUCAGUUAGAAGUGUAAGAAAAUGGGGUCCCUUCUUCCCCCAACCCCCGAAUCCUCCCUCCCCAACGGAUAGAGACAGCGAGAGAGAGAAUGAGAGCAACUGUAACAAAGAUGGCUGGACAUGGCAGCAGCUUCAGACUCGAUGUCGUAGCGGUGCUCGUUCUGGUGGCGCUUCUGACGGUGGCGGCGGAGACAGACCCGUCCGACGCGGCGGCCAUGCGGGACCUCGCCAAGUCCAUCGACGCCGCAGGCUCCCUCGGCUGGACACCGUCCACGGACCCUUGCAGCUGGAAACUCGUCACCUGCGACCCCAGUGGCCGCGUCACCGCCCUCAAUCUGGGUAAGCAGAAGCUGAGUGGCUCUCUGCCGGCGUCUGUCCGGAACCUGACGGCGCUCAUGACGCUAGCGCUCCAGAGCAACGCUAUCGGCGGGCCGCUGCCGAGCCUCGCCGGAAUGAGCUCCCUCCAAGUGGUCUACCUCCAUGACAACAACUUCUCCUCCGUCCCGCCGGAUUUCUUUGACGGGCUGACCUCUCUUCAGGCAAUCUACCUCGACUACAACCCUUUUGCCCCCUGGUCACUGCCGCCGAGCCUCCAAGGGGUAGCCUCCCUCGUCAACUUCUCUGCCAACAACGCCAAUGUCAAUGGCUCCAUUCCCUCUUUCUUCGGCUCCUUCCCGAGCCUUGCCUCCAUCCGCCUUGCCUUCAACUCGCUCUCCGGCGGCAUACCUUCGAGUCUCGCCGGCUCGACGCUGCAGGUGCUUUGGCUGAACAACCAGCAGGGGUCGAAGCUGACCGGCCAGAUCGACGUCCUCGCCAACAUGACCGGGCUCGUCCAGGUGUGGCUCCAGUCGAAUGCCUUCUCCGGCCCUAUUCCAGACCUGUCCCCCCUGAAAUCGCUCUCCGAGCUUGACCUCAGGGACAAUUCCCUCACCGGGCCGGUUCCCCCCUCGCUUGCCUCACUUCCGGAACUCAAGACCCUCGUUAUCACCAACAACCUGUUGCAAGGGAGCGUCCCGACAUUCGGGAAGGGGGUGAAGGUCGAUAAUCUCCCAGGGUCGAACCGCUUCUGCCCUGGUGACUGUGACCCGAGGAUAGUCGUCCUCCUCUCGGUCGUCUCCGCUCUGGGUUACCCUGCCGUACUCGCCGAUAGCUGGAAGGGAAACGACCCCUGCGACGAAUGGCGAGGAAUCAGCUGCGACCCCAAGGGGAACAUCACCGUCGUCAACUUCCAGAAUCAAGGGUUUUCAGGCACCAUCUCGCCGGACUUCGCAAAGAUCCUGUCGUUGGAUAAGCUCCUGCUCGCCAACAAUAACCUGUCGGGCUCGAUCCCGCCCGAGAUCACCGCAUUGCCCGCAUUAACGACUCUGGAUGUGUCGAAUAAUUCACUCUCUGGCAAGAUCCCGGCGUUUUCCAAGAAUGUGCUUCUGGAAAUCAGCGGGAACCCUAUGCUCGGGAAGGAAGCUAGUCCCGGGAGCUCGCCACCGGCGUCCGUUUCGGGCACACCUGAGGCGCCGACUACGAUUUCCUCACGUGGUUCUGAAGGAGUUCAGAAAGACGGAAAGAGGUCGACGAUGUCUUCCGGAGUUGUCGUCGGCUCUGUGGUCGGCGGAGUGUGUGGUGUGUGCUUAAUUGGGCUGAUGGGGUUCUUUGUAUACGAGAAGAAGACGAAGGGCUUCAAAAGGGUACAGAGCCCCAACACUGUGGUGAUACAUCCACGGCUUUCUGGGUCUGAUCCCGAUUUGUUGAAGAUCACGGUUGCCGGUGCCGGCGGAAGCAGUGCUGCUACGGCAGAUACGGCACAUAGCCAAGGAAGCAGUGGGAGAGGCGACAUUCAUGUGGUCGAGGCCGGAAACAUGGUGAUCUCAAUUCAGGUUCUGAGGAGCGUGACAAACAACUUCAGUGAGGAGAACAUCUUGGGUCAGGGCGGGUUCGGAACCGUCUACAAAGGGGAAUUGCACGAUGGAACGAAGAUUGCAGUGAAGAGAAUGGAAUCUGGAGUGAUAAGCACGAAGGGAUUGAACGAAUUUCAGUCGGAGAUCGCGGUUCUGACGAAGGUUCGCCACCGGCACCUCGUCGCACUGCUUGGGUAUUGCCUUGAUGGGAAUGAAAAGCUACUUGUAUACGAGUACAUGCCUCAGGGGCCACUCAGUCGGCAUCUUUUCAGUUGGAAGGAAGAAGGUAGGAAGCCAUUAGACUGGAAGAAGAGGCUGAGCAUAGCGUUGGAUGUGGCGAGAGGUGUCGAGUACCUGCACAGCUUGGCGCAUCAGAGUUUCAUCCACAGGGAUCUAAAGCCCUCCAAUAUCUUGCUUGGUGAUGAUAUGAGAGCAAAGGUCGCGGACUUCGGCCUGGUCCGGCUGGCCCCUGAGGGGAAGUGUUCUGUGGAGACAAGACUUGCAGGCACAUUCGGUUAUCUCGCGCCAGAGUAUGCAGUAACUGGGAGAUUAACAACCAAGGCAGAUGUUUUCAGCUUCGGUGUGAUUCUUAUGGAGCUAAUCAGUGGCAGGAGAGCUCUAGAUGAAAGCCAGCCUGAGGAAAGCAUGCACCUGGUAACGUGGUUCAGGAGAAUGUAUCUCAACAAGGAUGUCUUCCGAACUGCUAUAGACCCUUCAUUGGAACAGACGGAAGAGACACUCUCUAGCAUCUUAACCGUUGCAGAGCUUGCUGGUCAUUGCUGUGCCAGAGAGCCAUAUCAGAGGCCUGACAUGAGCCAUGCUGUUAAUGUGUUGUCUCCACUUGUAGAGCAAUGGAAGCCAACUGAUCCUGAUGCUGAUGACUGCUAUGGCAUCGACCUUGACAUGACUUUGCCUCAAGCUCUUAAGAAAUGGCAGGCCUUUGAAGAUUCACACAUGAGCGAUAAUUCUUAUUCUGCCUCCAUGGCUAGCCUGGAUAAUACUCAGACUAGCAUUCCAACUAGACCCUCUGGGUUUGCUGAUUCUUUCACUUCUGCCGAUGGCCGAUGAGAGAAGAACGGGAAAAAGGAUUACUCAAAAUGGAAAUGUUCUCCUUUUGAUUGCAACUCACAUGUUGUCUUGUUUAUUCUUAUCUGUUCCAUCUUCUGGCUUUCGGUGGUGGUGGUGGUGGUGGUUGUCACAGUGGUGGCAUCAAUGUUGGUGCAGCAUCCUGAUUAAAUGGACUAGGUGAUGCACAUGGUGCAAGCAUGGACUGUAUAGCAGCAACUGGUGAAGGAUGGGGCCAGCAGCAGCUCAAGGUCCCUGGCAUGAUUGGACGCAUUAGUACUUGUUUCUUUCAAGAAAAGAUAUACAGUUUAAAUCCACUAGCUGUUCCUUUGUCGCAAUCCACGCAUUUCCUUCGGGAAAUGAAUGAUUAUGUUCUUAACGUUAGUUUCACCUGCAGAAGAAAAUUCACCUGCAGAAGAAAACCUAGAGCCCGUGAAUUCCAUAUCUGGUUUCUACGAUGCAAAAUGUUAUGACCGUUUGUGAUUCA
Nymphaea colorata (pocket water lily) is the source of this 3561-nucleotide RNA transcript. It is a transcript of the gene named receptor protein kinase TMK1-like, with no coding region annotated. The record is from RefSeq and is a predicted model, not a curated record. The transcript is spliced from 3 exons. Lineage: Eukaryota; Viridiplantae; Streptophyta; Magnoliopsida; Nymphaeales; Nymphaeaceae.